This 24-nucleotide non-coding RNA is filed under the name Cricetulus griseus (Chinese hamster). Lineage: Eukaryota; Metazoa; Chordata; Mammalia; Rodentia; Cricetidae. The record is from RNAcentral.
AGGUUGGAUAAGCAAAGAGCAGAG